ACUCCUACGGGAGGCAGCAGUGGGGAAUAUUGCACAAUGGGGGAAACCCUGAUGCAGCCAUGCCGCGUGUGUGAAGAAGGCCUUCGGGUUGUAAAGCACUUUCAGUAGGGAGGAAGGUAGUGUAGUUAACACCUGCACUAUUUGACGUUACCUACAGAAGAAGCACCGGCUAACUCCGUGCCAGCAGCCGCGGUAAUACGGAGGGUGCGAGCGUUAAUCGGAAUUACUGGGCGUAAAGCGCAUGCAGGCGGCCUGUUAAGUCAGAUGUGAAAGCCCGGGGCUUAACCUCGGAAUUGCAUUUGAAACUGGCAGGCUAGAGUCUUGUAGAGGGGGGUAGAAUUUCAGGUGUAGCGGUGAAAUGCGUAGAGAUCUGAAGGAAUACCAGUGGCGAAGGCGGCCCCCUGGACAAAGACUGACGCUCAGAUGCGAAAGCU
Molecule: ribosomal RNA, 434 nt
Filed under: uncultured bacterium
Lineage: Bacteria
Description: bacterial SSU rRNA
Rfam family: Bacterial small subunit ribosomal RNA
Source: RNAcentral